This is a transfer RNA of Phytomonas sp., 73 nucleotides long. It matches the Rfam family "tRNA". From Rfam's summary of the family: Transfer RNA (tRNA) molecules are approximately 80 nucleotides in length. Their secondary structure includes four short double-helical elements and three loops (D, anti-codon, and T loops). Further hydrogen bonds mediate the characteristic L-shaped molecular structure. tRNAs have two regions of fundamental functional importance: the anti-codon, which is responsible for specific mRNA codon recognition, and the 3' end, to which the tRNAs corresponding amino acid is attached (by aminoacyl-tRNA synthetases). tRNAs cope with the degeneracy of the genetic code in two manners: having more than one tRNA (with a specific anti-codon) for a particular amino acid; and 'wobble' base-pairing, i.e. permitting non-standard base-pairing at the 3rd anti-codon position. The record is from Rfam. NCBI's taxonomy places the organism in Eukaryota, Euglenozoa, Kinetoplastea, Trypanosomatida, Trypanosomatidae.
GCGCGGGUGAUCUAGUGGUUAGGAUGUCUGCUUUACACGCAGAAUAUCGUGGGUUCAAUCCCCGCUCCGCGUA